UGUUUCUGAUAACAUGGUUUAGUACAAUGCACAUCUUUUAGCCAGAUCAAUUAUUAAUGUAUAAAAUGGUCUCGGCUUGCUGUUGGUGGCAUGAACCGGCAUAUUGAAAGGGAAUGACACCUGAGAUCUGGCAAACAUAACCACAAACUGCCCUGAGAAGUGGAACUAAGGACAGGUAUAACAACAACAAGAACAAAAACAACCACCAUAAUGGAAACCUUCAUCAUCAUCAACAGUACACUUGUUAAUUAUAUAGUACACUAUAAAAAGUCCAAGCAAAGACAUGCAUCGUAAGAGCGUGGGACACGAGUCGCCCUCUACUCUUUUGUCCUGCCAUGAACACGGCUAUGUGGCGGCAUCCGUUCACUGCCCAGCAAGUGGCCACACUUCAGGGCUUUGGCUAUGUGGAGAUCCCCUGCAUUUAUAAGAAACUGGUCUGUGGAGAUGAAGGCAAAUGUGCAAUGGCAGAGGUGUCAACUAUUGUGGAUGCCAUCCGAAAGUAUCUUCCAAGACCAGCUGAGAAAAUCACAGCACAUGUUGAUAAACACUGAAAGUGCAAAAUAUAUCCUACUGUGAAUGUAUAUAGUUUUAUAGAAUAAAUAGUAUAUUUAUAGUAAUAUAUAUAUAUAUAUAUAUAUAUAUAUAUAUAUAUAUAUAUAUAUAUAUAUAUAUAUAUAUAGUAAAUCAAGUUUUCUAUAAUGUGUGAUUUUUAAGUUCUUAUAUUUUGGGUAUAUAAUUGACGAAAACGUGUCCGCAAGGGUUAAAGACGCAAUAAUUUUGUUGGAGUUUAGGGAAUUGCACUUUUCUUGUUCCAAGCUUAUCUGACCGACAGUUUGUAAAUGUUACAGUGACGUUUCUGUGUAUACAUAAGUAAGGUUUGGCACUUUUCUUUGUCUUUUGCAGCAUAUGUAGAUAACAUUGCCAGAGUAGGUUAUUUCUUCUCAGAAACUUUGUUUAGAUCACAAAUAUAAUAAUGUUAUGGAAUGAAACUUGGUUGUCUGGAUGUUCCAGUAGGUGGAAGGUUUCAACAGAUUUCAACAGCCAGAGUAAUCAAUAGAUCAAGAAAUUUUAUGACACAACUCUUUUUUAUUUUUUAUCUACAUUAUACUGGCUCACAGUACCUGAGUGAACAUUUGGUUUAUUAUGAUCUGCCAUGCCUUGAUCAAAUAUUGGUUGUUUUUCACUAAUUAUCAGUUCCAAGCUAGCCUAAUCUGAUCUUGAAAAUACUUCUUCUG
Molecule: long non-coding RNA, 1235 nt
Organism: Tachysurus vachellii
Lineage: Eukaryota; Metazoa; Chordata; Actinopteri; Siluriformes; Bagridae
Exons: 3
Source: RefSeq, a predicted model, not a curated record